This 250-nucleotide ribosomal RNA is filed under the name uncultured bacterium. RNAcentral's name for it is "partial 16S ribosomal RNA". It matches the Rfam family "Bacterial small subunit ribosomal RNA", at positions 78 to 334 of the family's 1533-position model. The record is from RNAcentral.
CUUUUGCUGGCGACCGGCGCACGGGUGAGUAACACGUAUCCAACCUGCCCUUUACUCGGGGAUAGCCUUUCGAAAGAAAGAUUAAUACCCGAUAGCAUAAUGAUUCCGCAUGGUUUCAUUAUUAAAGGAUUCCGGUAAAGGAUGGGGAUGCGUUCCAUUAGGUUGUUGGUGAGGUAACGGCUCACCAAGCCUUCGAUGGAUAGGGGUUCUGAGAGGAAGGUCCCCCACAUGGAACUGAGACACGGUCCAA